CUACGGGAUGCAGCAGUGGGGAAUUUUGCGCAAUGGGGGAAACCCUGACGCAGCAAUACCGCGUGAGUGAAGAAGGCCUUUGGGUCGUAAAGCUCUUUUCUUGGGGAAGAUAGUGACGGUACCCAAGGAAUAAGCACCGGCUAACUCCGUGCCAGCAGCCGCGGUAAUACGGAGGGUGCAAGCGUUGUUCGGAUUUACUGGGCGUAAAGGGCACGUAGGCGGCACAGCAAGUUAAGGGUGAAAUCCCGGGGCUCAACUCCGGAACUGCUCUUAAAACUGCUGAGCUAGAGAUAGUCAGAGGCGGGUGGAAUUCCAGGUGUAGAGGUGAAAUUCGUAGAUAUCCGGAGGAACACCGGUGGCGAAGGCGGCCCGCUGGGGCUAUUCUGACGCUAAGGUGCGAAAGCGUGGGGAGCAAACGGGAUUAGAUACCCCUGUAGUC
RNAcentral lists this ribosomal RNA (439 nucleotides) under uncultured bacterium. RNAcentral's name for it is "partial 16S ribosomal RNA". It matches the Rfam family "Bacterial small subunit ribosomal RNA", at positions 339 to 795 of the family's 1533-position model. The record is from RNAcentral.